ACGUCAGCCCGUGUGCUCCCAGCAGCAGCUGCCUCUUCCCCGGUCUCCCUGGCUCCAGCCUCUUCCUGUUCCAGCCUGGCCCACAUUCUCCUGCCAGAAUAAACUUCCUGGGGUAGCAGAGAACCCAGUUUGAGCCUAAACCCUGUCUGGGCUGGCCAUUCAAACUGAUGGACAGUUACGACAAGAUGUUUAUCUGGACGAGGGCUCGGGAAGCCUUUGGGAGAAAGUCAUCUUGAGGGGAAAAAAAAGAGAAUUGAAAAGGAAAGCUCCCUCGGGUACUAAAUCCUGAGUUGUCAGAGGGGAGAGAUGGUUCUGAAUUCACCUGGGAACCUAUGAAUAUUCUCCUGGCUUUUGAGUUUUCAUCCAGAGGAAAGCUGACGAACUAAAGCGAGGAGAAACUUUAUACGGAAGUUCCUGUCUGUCUUCAGAGCCAAACAAGCAUCGGUUGAUAUGCUGCAAACUGUGGGGAGCCCCGGGGGUAAAGGUUACUUGCCCCCAGUCCUCUGCAGCCCAGAGGAUUCAGAGGGUGGUGUCUGCCGGUAGAACUCAGAGUGUGCCGCAGGGUAGAUGUUCUCUUAAAAAAAGUGCCGUCAGAGAUCGGGAGACACCUUGCUCUGUGAUGGCAGUCAGUGAGACACGCGGGCAGGACCCGGGUCCCGGCUGUAGGGCUGGUUCUACACAAGGGAGGCACCCCAUUUAUUUAUGGCCACGUGUGACCUGCUCCCCAAGACUGUGAGAAAUACUUCACGCAGCUUUAGAAGGAGCUGAAGCUUUUUUUUUUUUUUUAAGAUUUAUUUAUUUAUUUUGGGGGCUGCGCUGGGUCUUCCUUGCGGUGCUUCGUUGCCCCGUGGCAGGUGGGAUCUUCCUGGACCAGGGAUCGAACCCGUGUCCCCUGCAUUGCAACACGGACUCUUAACCACUGGACCACCAAGGAAGCCCGGAGCUGAAGGACUGAGUUUCGGCACCAUAGGGAAGUGUGAUUUUGGGCAGAAUUUGUGAAGCUCUUCUCCAUGGGCCUUGAUGGAGAACAUCUUUGGGAAAUAAUCUACAGCUAGAAUUUGUCCUGAUCAGGACAUUCGAAAUGAUCGAGCCCUUCUUCAUGGGAGAUAUAGCAUUUAGUGGGCACGCCGGUGAUCUGAAGUCAAGGAUGAAUUCACGGUGGCUCUUGGUGCCGCGGUUCUUUCCACGUUCACUUGGAGCCUGCAUGUGCUGCAGACUGCAUGCAACCCAGUGACGCUGUCCUCCAGCAUCAGUAAGAUGCCCUGCAUCCAAAAUGAAGCCGCAUUUCACAGGGAGGUUGCCGUGACUUCUACUGACCCUAGGUUAUGAGCAAAAUGCUGAACAUGUAAAUGUAAAAAAAACACGUGUUCGCUUUCACUGUUCCUUAUGUAUCUACGUGCGUGUGCAUCUGUGCCUCUAGCACUCUUGCAAGUGUCUAUACAGACCAGAGAAAAGCAAGAUUCCACAAAAAUAAGGCUAGCGUUUGGAUACAGUUUUUUUUUUUUUAAACUCUGUAGGAAGAACAUGACAUAAGGCUAUAAGCCGAAAUGUUCCUAAAAGUUGGGAAGAUUUUUUGUCAUGUUAAACAUCUUAAACUAAUGUGUGCUGACUAAAGGUUUGCACAGACGUGUUAGAAAGACACUCUUUAGAGAUAUGUGCCUUGAGUGGCUGGAAUCUAGCACAUAAUAAAUCCUCAAUAAAUUGUGUCUAUUAUUUUUCCUGGUCUUAAAUAGUCAAUGAUUUUUGUUUUGUU
Long non-coding RNA from Cervus elaphus (red deer), 1753 nucleotides. RefSeq lists it as uncharacterized. The record is from RefSeq and is a predicted model, not a curated record. Lineage: Eukaryota; Metazoa; Chordata; Mammalia; Artiodactyla; Cervidae. The transcript is spliced from 4 exons.